This 83-nucleotide transfer RNA is filed under the name Candidatus Diapherotrites archaeon CG08_land_8_20_14_0_20_34_12. RNAcentral describes it as "tRNA-Leu". It matches the Rfam family "tRNA". Rfam says of the family: Transfer RNA (tRNA) molecules are approximately 80 nucleotides in length. The record is from RNAcentral. Lineage: Archaea; Nanobdellati; Candidatus Iainarchaeota.
GCAGGGAUCCCAUAGUGGCAAUUGGACUGGAUUCAGGUUCCAGUGGCUUAGUGCCUUCGGGGGUUCGAGUCCUCCUCCCUGCA